ACCAGAGUAUUCUUUCAACUAUUCCCGUAGCCCCUCUAGAGCUGGAGUUUCUAGGCUUCUUUUCUUUAUAAAAGAGGCAACAGAGUAACGUCAUAGGAUAGAUAAAAAAAAGGGGGGAAGGGAGAAGUGGUUCACAGGUCAUUCCUUGGCUUAUAAAACUUGAGAUAUCUGAUUAGUUGAGAGCUGAGACCAAGGCAAUGAAGUUCUUGGUUCAAUGCCCAUGUUGCUCAUGCUUCUGCUUCAUGAAGGCCAAGAAGAACAAGCCCAAGGAGAAGGAAACCAAAGGUGAUUGAAAGCAUCAAUAUAUUGCAUUCGUUUUAGCUUUGAUUAUGUAAAGAGCCUUCCAAAAUGUUGGAAGCUCCUUUGGAAAGAAUGCUUCAAAUGUACUUCAUCAAGUGAAUAUGAAAUAAUCUGAGAUCUUCUCUCAGAUGUAAUGUAUGACUUGUUAGUCAUUUGUUUCUUAGCCCUUUGAUGAUUUGUCCUUCUUCACCAUUAUUGUUUGAUCAAUAACCAGACUGAGCUGCAGAAGAAAAUUUCAGAAGAAAUUAAGGUCAAAAAAUCUUAGAAGAGGUCAUCUUUUUGCAACUCUUUACAAUGGUUGGAUGCUGUUUACAGUUCUGGUGUUUGUUUAGUUAGCUUGCAGGUUGAAAUGGUUUCCAAAAGCCAAAAGCAUGAGCUAUGGGAUAUACCAACAAGGAAGAGAGAAUAUAGCUAUUUUCAACUAAAUUCCUUUUUCCAAAUAUAUGGAGCUGCAUCUCUAACAUUAGAUGAGACAGUUCAUAUGCCAAGGAUUUUCGGAUAAAAAUUCUGUGAAUUUUAGCUGUUUCUUCUUGACCAAAAGCUUAGGAGACUUUGCAUUUUGUUUUGUGCACAUGUUAUGAAUGCCAC
RNAcentral lists this long non-coding RNA (888 nucleotides) under Elaeis guineensis (African oil palm). Its description in RNAcentral is "long non-coding RNA (EGUI_LNC019735)". The record is from RNAcentral. Lineage: Eukaryota; Viridiplantae; Streptophyta; Magnoliopsida; Arecales; Arecaceae.